GCAGAUGUUGCAGUGAGCGGAGAUCCUGCCACUGCACUUCAGCCUGGGUGACAGAGUGAGAUUUCGUCUAAAAAAAAAAAAAGUACUUGUUACUAUGUUAACAGUUGUUAUCACUACUAUUAUUAUUUUGAGAUGGAGUCUCACUGUGUGUCCCAGGAUGGAGUGCAGUGGUGCAGUCUCGGCUCACUGUAACCUCCACCUCCUGGGUUCAAGUGAUUCCAGCGCCCCGAGUAACUGGGAUUACAGGCAUGCACCACCAUGCCUGGGUAACUUUUGUAUUUUUAGUAGAGACAGGGUUUCGCCAUGUUAGCCAGGCUGGUCUCAAACUCCCGACUUCAAGUGAUCCACCUGCCUCUACCUCCCAAAGUGCUGGGAUUCCAGGUGUGAGCCACCGCACCUGGCCUACAUUAUCACUACUAUUUUAUUACUAUCCACCUUGACUAUUGCUGCAGCUUCCUUAUUGGGCUUUUCACCACCAGUCUUGCCUCCCUUUUCUGCUUCUUUUUCUAACUGCCAUUUGUACCCAGAUCCCCACCAUGAUGACUUGUACCUCAAUGCCAGCAGCUUCCUGGCCCUGAUCAAUGGGGAAAGAGACCAUCCCAAUGCCACAGUAUGGCGGAAGAACUUCCUUCGUGUGGGCCACCUGGUGCUGAUUGGGGGCCCUGAUGAUGGUGUUAUUACUCCCUGGCAGUCCAGCUUCUUUGGUUUCUAUGAUGCAAAUGAGACCGUCCUGGAGAUGGAGGAGCAACUGCCUGCCAGGCCCACCCACCAGUCUGAGCUGCUUCUGCUGAGGCUGGUCUGCCUGAAGCCUCCCAGGAGAAAGAAGCCAGCCUGUAGGGUCCAGCGUCAAAGCGAAUCAUGGGGUCCAGGGCUGAGCUGUGCACUCUCUUAGGCGGAUUCUCCUUCCUCCUGCUACUGAUAUCAGGCGAGGGGGCCAAGGGUGGA
Molecule: small RNA, 945 nt
Filed under: Pan troglodytes (chimpanzee)
Lineage: Eukaryota; Metazoa; Chordata; Mammalia; Primates; Hominidae
Description: retained intron
Source: RNAcentral